This 460-nucleotide ribosomal RNA is filed under the name uncultured bacterium. RNAcentral describes it as "partial 16S ribosomal RNA". It matches the Rfam family "Bacterial small subunit ribosomal RNA", at positions 338 to 795 of the family's 1533-position model. The record is from RNAcentral.
CCUACGGGUGGCAGCAGUGAGGAAUAUUGGUCAAUGGGCUUACGCCUGAACCAGCCAAGUCGCGUGAGGGAAGACUGCCCUAUGGGUUGUAAACCUCUUUUGUCAGGGAGCAAAGCCGGCUACGGUUAGCCGGACUGAGAGUAACUGAAGAAAAAGCAUCGGCUAACUCAGUGCCAGCAGCCGCGGAAAUACGGAGGAUGCGAGCGGUAUCCGGUUUGAUUGGGUUAAAGGGGUGCGUAGGCGGAAUGCCAAGUCAGCGGGAAAAUCGCGGGGCUCAACCUCGCUCCGCCGUUGAAACUGGCGUUCUUGAGUGGGCGAGAAGUAUGCGGAAUGCGUGGUGUAGCGGUGAAAUGCAUAGAUAUCACGCAGAACUCCGAUUGCGAAGGCAGCAUACCGGCGCCCAACUGACGCUGAAGCACGAAAGCGUGGGUAUCGAACAGGAUUAGAUACCCGAGUAGUC